UACGUAGGGUGCAAGCGUUAAUCGGAAUUACUGGGCGUAAAGCGUGCGCAGGCGGUUAUGUAAGACAGUUGUGAAAUCCCCGGGCUCAACCUGGGAACUGCAUCUGUGACUGCAUAGCUAGAGUACGGUAGAGGGGGAUGGAACUCCGCGUGUAGCAGUGAAAUGCGUAGAUAUGCGGAGGAACACCGAUGGCGAAGGCAAUCCCCUGGACCUGUACUGACGCUGAUGCACGAAAGCGUGGGGAGCAAACAGG
This 253-nucleotide ribosomal RNA is filed under the name uncultured bacterium. RNAcentral's name for it is "partial 16S ribosomal RNA". It matches the Rfam family "Bacterial small subunit ribosomal RNA", at positions 524 to 776 of the family's 1533-position model. The record is from RNAcentral.